UACGUAGGCAGCGAGCGUUGUUCGGAAUUACUGGGCGUAAAGAGCGUGUAGGCGGUUCUUUAAGUUUGGUGUGAAAUCUCCCGGCUCAACUGGGAGGGUGCAUCGAAAACUGGAGUGCUCGAGGGUGGGAGAGGUAAGCGGAAUUCCUGGUGUAGCGGUGAAAUGCGUAGAUAUCAGGAGGAACACCUGUGGUGUAGACAGCUUACUGGACCGCUUCUGACGCUGAGACACGAAAGCGUGGGUAGCAAACAGG
Molecule: ribosomal RNA, 253 nt
Filed under: uncultured bacterium
Lineage: Bacteria
Description: partial 16S ribosomal RNA
Rfam family: Bacterial small subunit ribosomal RNA
Source: RNAcentral